UGGCUCUGCAGCUCAGUAAAUGUGCCUGCGGCGCCUGGUGGGUCCCCCUGCGUCUUCGUUAGUUCCUUUUCCUUCUCUCAGACCUUUGGCUGGAAGCUGGUGGGGCUGAAAGGUGAAGGCUGCCACCUAGAGGUGAACUCUGGCACCUGCCAAAGCCUGCGAGGCGUCUUAUCUUCUCAUCAAGACUCACAGAGAGAACGUAACAGGAUUACUGCUGUGGCUGGAAGAGGCCAAUUCUGCAGCACCCACCGGUUUGCAUGAAGUUUCAAAACAGCUGCAGACAUCCAAAGCACUGGUUGCGGAAGCAUCAGAAAGGUGAAGCCACCCGCCUAAGACCGAAGAGCUAGAAGCAAAAGAGCCAAAUUUCAAAACUGCAAAGUGUUCCUGACCUCUGGGCUGUCCUGCUUCCUGGAAAUUGCUUGGGCAGUGCGCUCCAUCUUCCUGGGGCAUUUAACCCACAAGUUUGCUAGCAGCCAUGUUUUCAAGCUGCAACAACUACUUCUUGGAUGGUGAGAAUUGGGAGAGAUGGCAGAAGGCCUGGGGAAGAGUGGGGAUGCUGGGAAAGCCUCCUGGUGAGAAAGCUCAGGCCACAGCUGGGCCAGGGACAUCCACAGCAGUCUCCAGGCUCUGACACCCCCUCCCCAACCCUGACUCCCUCCCAGGGGAGAGAAUAACUUGGCUCCAAAGCUGAGGCCAGAAUAUAAGCCAGAGACCUGCUGACCUGACCCCCCCACCCUGGAAUCUACUGAAUCUGGGGCCAGGAGCAAGGAAGGGCUGACCCCAAACUGAACAAAUCAAAAAGCCAAGUUCCCCUCUGAGCCCUGCAAUUUUUUUUUCUUUUGGACCAAAUAAGGAAGGAGCACCUGUUACUUUAUAAUCAUACUGUAGGACAGCCUCGAGUUGAAAGCCAUGGGAUCUGGAGUCUUGAAAACGCGGUUCAAGCUCCUAUCUUUUCUAUUUCCAAACUCAGUGUCCUAGAGCAACUCACUCACUUUCCCCAAGCUUCAGUUUUUCUAUCUAUGAAAUAGACAAUGAUACUCCUGUUAAGAGGGCGCUUGUAAGGAUUUGGGGGACCAGAGGUUAAAUUCGCUUCAUUUUAGUUCACCUACGUUACUUAUGUUUUGUUACAUGUCUUAAGUUAUGGUUUUAAUAAUCCCCCCACUCAAAAAUAAAC
RNAcentral lists this long non-coding RNA (1174 nucleotides) under Homo sapiens (human). RNAcentral describes it as "HSALNT0290766". The record is from RNAcentral. Lineage: Eukaryota; Metazoa; Chordata; Mammalia; Primates; Hominidae.